AUUGAACGCUGGCGGCAUGCCUUACACAUGCAAGUCGAACGGUAACGCGGGGCAACCUGGCGACGAGUGGCGAACGGGUGAGUAAUGCAUCGGAACGUGCCCAGUAGUGGGGGAUAGCCCGGCGAAAGCCGGAUUAAUACCGCAUACGACCUACGGGUGAAAGCGGGGGACCGUAAGGCCUCGCGCUGUUGGAGCGGCCGAUGUCAGAUUAGGUAGUUGGUGGGGUAAAGGCCUACCAAGCCUUCGAUCUGUAGCUGGUCUGAGAGGACGACCAGCCACACUGGGACUGAGACACGGCCCAGACUCCUACGGGAGGCAGCAGUGGGGAAUUUUGGACAAUGGGCGCAAGCCUGAUCCAGCCAUGCCGCGUGCGGGAAGAAGGCC
RNAcentral lists this ribosomal RNA (384 nucleotides) under uncultured bacterium. RNAcentral describes it as "bacterial SSU rRNA". It matches the Rfam family "Bacterial small subunit ribosomal RNA", at positions 29 to 416 of the family's 1533-position model. The record is from RNAcentral.